ACAAACUUGCAUCGGAAUUAUGUAUGCCGUCAAAAACUUACAUCAGAAUUAUGUAGGCCGUCAAAAACUUACAUGAGAAUUACAUCAGAAGAAUCAAAAUAGCACCAUCCUCAGAAUCACAUUAGAGAAUCCAGAAGGCACAAUCAUCAAAGUAAUGGAAAGCUAUUUGUCGAAAGUGAAUUUCCAAAUGUUUACUUUUACUAUACUCUUCCAAUAUGCCCUGUUUAAGCAGUAUCUGAAUAGGCUUGUAGACGAGUAUUACAUGGUGGUCCUUCCAAUUUGCUUUGUUUAUGCAGUAGUUGAAUAGACUUGUAGACGAGUAUUACAUGAUGGCCCUUGAGAGUGACCUAUUUGUGUACACAAAACUAUAUAUGGGUGAGUUUAAAUGGAAAAUUUCUGUCAAGGAUGUAUAUAAAAACAAGACAGAAGUUCAUUCAUUUAAAGAGAGUGGUGAUUUCCCUCAACUUUAGAAAAACUUUGAUGCAAAUCCUUAUCCUGACGGCAUCUGCAAAGUUGAAUUCACUACAUCUCGAAAAUCGAAUUCAAUGAAAUAAAUUUAAUGAAACCAGAAAAUUUUGUGCAAUGAAUUUCUUAGAAGAUCUUUGCUUCAUCUGCAAAGUCGAAUUCAGUGAAACAAGAAAAUUUUGCACAAUAAAUUUAUUAGAAGAAAAAUGAGAAUGAGUUUUAGGAUAAGUCGAUACGGAAGAAGUUUGGUUCCCCAAAGCCAAAAAAAAUUAUUGAAAAUAGCGAGAACAAGGCUUUUAAAAAAAAAAUAUUGUCAAAAAAAGAAAGCUAUAGUUUCUCAUUUUUUAGAAUCCAGUAUUUCUUAAAGCUAGUUUCAUGUAUUACUAGUUAACAAAACAAGAAAGUGCUACAAAAGGCUAGAACUUCCAGCUUCUAAAACCAGAAGUUCUAGACUUGUUAAUAAAGAUGAAAGUGCUUCAGCAUGCUAGAACUUUCAGCUUGUGGAAGUGAGAGCACUUCCAUUCAGGAAUCCAAUGACUUAACACGACGCCUUUAAUAAUAAAUUAGGAGUUUUAAGGGGUAAAAAAAAACACCUCGAUGUUUUUAUAUGUUUUAAACAGGAAAUAUAUAUUUUAAGUUGGCAAAGGCAACAACUUUUAUAUGUUUUUACAUAUUCAUUUUGAUUACAACCAAUUGAUUAGAGUUAUUUUGGUACAACCAAUUAGUUAGUUUUUUACUAGAACCACAUGAUUAGAGCUAUUUUAGUGCAUAAAUCGUGCUUAUCAUCCAAGCUCAAUAAAACAAUUCAUUCAUCACUAUAAAAAUCUUCUCGUCCAAAAAAUAUCAUUCCUAACCAUACCAUUAAAAUCUUCUCUUCCAAAAAAAUACCAUUCCAAACAAUACCAUUAAAAGGAGCCAAAAGAAAAAGAAAGCCAUAACGGAAGCCAUCAUGAUUUAUUUUUAGUCAUCCUAAAUUAACCAUCAGCACACCACCAACCACAACACUAGCUAAUUACCAAAGAAAGUAAAUCAGCUAAUUAUCCAAUAAAAAAUUUAUAUCCAUGCAAUAAAGAAGUGAAUUACCAGAAAAAAAAAAAUGUUUUCAAAAGAUAAAGGAAAAUGAAGAUGAAUGUCUGCCCAAUAAAAAAAUUAAUUAUUUGUCCAAAAGAAAGCAAGUUUUGUAUAAUGGAUGAUGUUGGAAAACAUCUUCCAACACAUUAUAUGGAUUGUCCACUUUCAAGAAUUUCAUGUGUUUAUAAAUCUAUUAGAUUUGACCAUUUUGAAGUUUAAAGUUUUAUAACUAGAGAUGAAAAUAGAUGGAUUGCCCACUUUCAAGAAUUUCAUAUGUUUAUAGAUCUAUUAGAUUUGACCAUUUUGGAGUUCAAUAUUUUAUAACUAGAGAUGAAAAUAGAUACUCAGGUCAUUCUAAGAAUCUUUUACUCCAAACUUACAUCUUAGGAUAGAAUUUAGAGGUGCACCUUACUUUGAUCGUUACUGUUAGAACAUUAUACAAACUAUACCCUUUUAAUAUUACAAACAACAAAACAAAGGGGAUAUUUAGGAUAGAAAGUUUUUUCUCUAGUUAAAUACUUUAUUUUAGAUUUUGGGUUCCACAUGAAAAUUAUCAUAUGAUUAUUUUUUAAUAAAAUAAAAUAAAAUAAAAUAAAGUAUAUUGAGUUCUUUUAACACUUGGAUAUCCCCACUUAAAAUUGGACGGUCUUUGUUACAUAUUCCAAUAUAUGUGCAACUUUGGAAUGUUAUCUUUUUCAAGCAUUACACUCCUAAAAGGGGAAGUAAAAAUACUCCAACAAUACUCCAAUAUUUGGUUUUACCGAGCACAUAAUCUCUUAACAAUUUUUUCCAGAAAUUUAGAAGAAAUGGUAGCUUGCAUAAUCUUUUAACAAAAUUUUCCAGAAAUUUAGACGAAAUGGGAGCUUUGUGAUUCAGUUGAAGUGGUCGAGAUUCAUUUAUGGCAGAGUACCUCAUUCCCCUAGAAAAAUUAUAGAAGAAAGAGAAACAUGAGGAGCCACCUGAGCAAUUUACCAUCAUAAUCUAAAAUCUUUAAUACCCCAUUGUAUUAGAAGUACCUCUCAAAUUAUCAUCAUGAUCUAAAUUCUUUAAUACCCCAUUGUAUUAGACGUACCUCUCAAAUUAUUUUUCCCUUUUUUUUAUAUGUUAAUAGUGCAAUAGAAGGCAUUCAAUAAUUUUAACCAUUGGAAAAGAAAUGGAGUAGGCUACAAGUAAAUCAAUUUAUUUAUUUCAUUGCGAAGGAAAUAGAGUAGGUUAAAAUAUCAUUUACUUUCUAAUGAAAGUCUCCGAUAAAAGAAAAUUUUGAAGAAAAAUUAUAUUCACAAAAUAAAUAUAACAAAAUUUUUGUGAAAUACUUACUCGUCAAUCUACUCCAAAAAUUAUAUUCACAAAAUAUAUAUAACAAAAUUUUUGUGAAAUACUUACUGGUCAAUCUAUUCCAUUGCCUCAAAGAUUUAAUAUUGGAAUCGUGUGGGCAUAAAACUGAUGUCUCCAUGGCCUUAAUAUCUUAAAUAUAUUGAUAUGCUUAUAUAAAUGAUGAUUUCAUAUUGGAAUCGUGUGGGCAAAAAACUGAUGUCUCCAUAGCCUUAAUAUCUUAAAUAUAUUG
This 3100-nucleotide long non-coding RNA is filed under the name Amborella trichopoda. RNAcentral's name for it is "long non-coding RNA (ATRI_LNC002002)". The record is from RNAcentral. Lineage: Eukaryota; Viridiplantae; Streptophyta; Magnoliopsida; Amborellales; Amborellaceae.